This 724-nucleotide long non-coding RNA is filed under the name Sarcophilus harrisii (Tasmanian devil). RNAcentral describes it as "lncRNA (ENSSHAG00000028353.1)". The record is from RNAcentral. Lineage: Eukaryota; Metazoa; Chordata; Mammalia; Dasyuromorphia; Dasyuridae.
CACUAAUCACCCUGUCAAGCUUCAAUCGGAAUCAGUUGAAUUGGGAGGCUGAGUGCUGAGUGCUCAUGGCUUCCAUUUUACAAGAGAGAAAGUGGAGGAGACCAGCCCCAUGUCAAGUGUCUGAAGGAAAAGACUCUGGGACUAUAUGAGACAGAAAGAAACCAACCAAUAGGAAUAAAGUAUAGCCGGACAAAGAUGGUAACAACAGCAACAGCAGCAGCUGAUGGAACUUUCACUGUCUCCUUACAUCCAGAGAAACAAGACGUGAUGAAUAGAAUGAACAGAGAGGCGCUUUGAUGAGGCAGUGGAUAGAUUGCCGGGCCUAAAGACGGGAAGACUCAUCUUGUGACUUCGGCCAAAUCACUUCGCUCUGUUGGUCUGUUUGCUCACCUGUAAAAUGAAAUGGAGAAGGAAAUGGCAAACCACUGUCUGCCAUGAAAAUCCCAAAUUGGGUCACGAAGAGUUCAGCACAAGCAAAAUGACUGAACAAUAACAACUAUAUACCAGGCACGGGGUUAAGUGCUGGGGAUGCAAAGAAAGAUAAAAGACAGUCCCUGUUCUCACGGAGCUCACAAUCUGAUGGGGGAGACAAGAAAAGCACUAAACCUUUUGUCUUCUCUAUUGAAAUCUACUCUCUGUGGGCAGCCUACCUUGUUAAAAUUGUAAUAUUCCACAAUAGUAAACAGAUAUAUUUAUCAAAAUACUCUGGCUGGCAAAUGGUGGG